Molecule: long non-coding RNA, 320 nt
Organism: Hyalella azteca
Lineage: Eukaryota; Metazoa; Arthropoda; Malacostraca; Amphipoda; Hyalellidae
Exons: 3
Source: RefSeq, a predicted model, not a curated record
UGCUUAUAAAAAUUAUGAGAGAGGCAGACAGGUCGUGCCUGGACGCGAGCGCCUUCACCCCAGAAAUGCGCCUUCAUGCCCCCCACAUGUUGUACCUCGGCCCUGGCCGCCAAACUCGUCCAGAACAGCGGCUUCGAGUGCGUCCAAGUGAUAACCUCUCGACCUCUCGUCAGAUGAUCGGGUUCAAUGGCUCAGAAAAGUGCCAGCAUAUCAAUAAGACGACCUGUAAAGGCUGAUGGCGACACUGCCCCAAAAGAAUGGCGGUGGGAGUCCAAUGUACUGAACUUAAUGCCCCGGCUGCUGUCAUGUCCACCUCUGCU